UACGUAGGGGGCUAGCGUUGUCCGGAAUCAUUGGGCGUAAAGAGCGUGUAGGCGGUCCGGUAAGUCCGCUGUGAAGGUCGGGGGCUCAACCCUCGAAUGCCGGUGGAUACUGUCGGGCUAGAGUGCGGAAGAGGCGAGUGGAAUUCCUGGUGUAGCGGUGAAAUGCGCAGAUAUCAGGAGGAACACCUAUUGCGAAGGCAGCUCGCUGGGACGUUACUGACGCUGAGACGCGAAAGCAUGGGGAGCGAACAGG
This 253-nucleotide ribosomal RNA is filed under the name uncultured bacterium. RNAcentral describes it as "partial 16S ribosomal RNA". It matches the Rfam family "Bacterial small subunit ribosomal RNA", at positions 524 to 776 of the family's 1533-position model. The record is from RNAcentral.